This 208-nucleotide long non-coding RNA is filed under the name Capsicum annuum. RNAcentral's name for it is "long non-coding RNA (CANN_LNC000880)". Lineage: Eukaryota; Viridiplantae; Streptophyta; Magnoliopsida; Solanales; Solanaceae. The record is from RNAcentral.
UGGCUGGGUACUUCUAUUGAUCAUCUGUGAAGUGGUGAUCCUCAACCCUUUAUAAGGCCUUGUCAUUUAAUUAUUAUUUUUUAUUGUAUUAGUACUUUGGACUUCUUUUUUCAUAGUAGGUACAUGUCCCGACUUAGUUUUUCUGCUUCAAAUGUUUUUAUGGAUAAAAUUGGGAUGUCUUGGAUGUUAUGUUUAACUCUGAUCUUUC